AAAUUGAAGAGUUUGAUCAUGGCUCAGAUUGAACGCUGGCGGCAGGCCUAACACAUGCAAGUCGAGCGGAAACGAGUUAUCAGAACCUUCGGGGGACGAUAACGGCGUCGAGCGGCGGACGGGUGAGUAAUGCCUAGGAAAUUGCCCUGAUGUGGGGGAUAACCAUUGGAAACGAUGGCUAAUACCGCAUGAUGCCUACGGGCCAAAGAGGGGGACCUUCGGGCCUCUCGCGUCAGGAUAUGCC
Molecule: ribosomal RNA, 244 nt
Filed under: Vibrio parahaemolyticus
Lineage: Bacteria; Pseudomonadati; Pseudomonadota; Gammaproteobacteria; Vibrionales; Vibrionaceae
Description: partial 16S ribosomal RNA
Rfam family: Bacterial small subunit ribosomal RNA
Source: RNAcentral